UCGGGAAUUUUGGGCAAUGGAGGGAACUCUGACCCAGCCAUGCCGCGUGCAGGAUGAAGGCGUUAUGCGUUGUAAACUGCUUUUAUAUAGGAAGAAAUAGUCCUUGCGAGGAAAGUUGACGGUACUAUAUGAAUAAGCACCGGCUAACUCCGUGCCAGCAGCCGCGGUAAUACGGAGGGUGCAAGCGUUGUCCGGAUUUAUUGGGUUUAAAGGGUGCGUAGGCGGUUUAUUAAGUCAGUGGUGAAAGACGGUCGCUCAACGAUUGCAGUGCCAUUGAUACUGGUAGACUUGAGUAUGAUUGAGGUAGCUGGAAUGGAUAGUGUAGCGGUGAAAUGCAUAGAUAUUAUCCAGAACACCAAUUGCGUAGGCAAGUUACUAAGUCAUAACUGACGCUGAGGCACGAAAGUGUGGGUAUCAAACAGGAUUAGAUACCCACGUAGUCCCUGAGCGGGCUGGCAAGGCGCAU
RNAcentral lists this ribosomal RNA (466 nucleotides) under uncultured bacterium. RNAcentral's name for it is "bacterial SSU rRNA". It matches the Rfam family "Bacterial small subunit ribosomal RNA", at positions 355 to 825 of the family's 1533-position model. The record is from RNAcentral.